RNAcentral lists this signal recognition particle RNA (298 nucleotides) under Cebus imitator (Panamanian white-faced capuchin). Its description in RNAcentral is "Metazoan signal recognition particle RNA (ENSCCAG00000009701.1)". It matches the Rfam family "Metazoan signal recognition particle RNA". From Rfam's summary of the family: The signal recognition particle (SRP) is a universally conserved ribonucleoprotein. The record is from RNAcentral. Lineage: Eukaryota; Metazoa; Chordata; Mammalia; Primates; Cebidae.
AUCAGGCACGGUGGCACCUGCCAAUAGUCCCAGCUACUCCCGAGGCUGAAGUGGGAGGAUCGCUUGAGCCCAGGAGUUCUGGGCUGUAGUGCGCUAUGCCCAUCGGGUGUCUGCACUAAGUUCGGCAUCAAUAUGGUGACCUCCCAGGAGCAGGGGACCACCAGGUUGCCUAAGAAGUGGUGAACAACCCAGGUCGGAAAUGGAGCAGGUCAAAACUCCCGUGCUGAUCAGUAGUGGGAUUGCGCCUGUGAAUAGCCACUGCACUCCAGCCUGGGCAACAUAGCGAGACCCUGUCUCU